AGUGAACGCUGGCGGUAGGCCUAACACAUGCAAGUCGAACGGCAGCACAGUAAGAGCUUGCUCUUACGGGUGGCGAGUGGCGGACGGGUGAGGAAUACAUCGGAAUCUACUUUUUCGUGGGGGAUAACGUAGGGAAACUUACGCUAAUACCGCAUACGACCUACGGGUGAAGGCAGGGGAUCUUCGGACCUUUCGGGUUUGAUGUCGCGGAUUCCGGUUUAGCUAGUUGGGGGGGUAAAGGCCAACCAAGGCGACGAUCCGUAGCUGGUCUGAGAGGAUGAUCAGCCACACUGGAACUGAGACACGGUCCAGACUCCUACGGGAGGCAGCAGUGGGGAAUAUUGGACAAUGGGCGCAAGCCUGAUCCAGCCAUACCGCGUGGGUGAAGAAGGCCUUCGGGUUGUAAAGCCCUUUUGUUGGGAAAGAAAAGCAGCAGGUUAAUACCCCGCUGUUCUGACGGUACCCAAAGAAUAAGCACCGGCUAACUUCGUG
RNAcentral lists this ribosomal RNA (492 nucleotides) under uncultured bacterium. RNAcentral's name for it is "partial 16S ribosomal RNA". It matches the Rfam family "Bacterial small subunit ribosomal RNA", at positions 29 to 507 of the family's 1533-position model. The record is from RNAcentral.